Molecule: long non-coding RNA, 4487 nt
Filed under: Canis lupus familiaris (dog)
Lineage: Eukaryota; Metazoa; Chordata; Mammalia; Carnivora; Canidae
Description: lncRNA (ENSCAFG00000054252.1)
Source: RNAcentral
GGGCCCAGCAGGGGCGGAGGGGGGAGCGCCCUCCUGGAAGCCUCCCUGGGAUGGGGCCGCGGUGCAGGCGCGCUGGCCCAGGGCUCUGGGCAUCCCCGGUGCGGCCUGCACGCCGACCCCUUAGCAGGGAUCAGAACAGGUGCCAGGAGGUCCCACUCCAGGGUCCUGGCCUGGCGGCCGCGGGCCUUAGAUCCACAGGCCCCGCACGUUCGGGGUACCUGCUGCUGCUGCUGGUCCACUUGGCCUCACCGAGGUGACUUCGUGCGAGCCAGCCUCAGGGACGUGGUGACGCAGCAGAGGGACACAGCGCCCGCAGCCUCCCCACCCGACCGCAGACUGGAGCAGUUAGAUCAACAUCAAGUGACCGGAUGGAAACACGGCGGCAGGACGGCAGCUCUCUGUGCGACAUCCCUCCUUGCCCUUGAGGACACCGCAGAGCCGCCUGGGGGCGCUUCUGAGCUGGUGGUGGCCUCUGUGGCCUCAGGCGGUCAGGAGGCAGCCUGGGUGACGCGGUGGCACUUGGCAGGUGGUGACGAGGUGUCCAUUAUGGGUCUAGGGCUGGGGUGACAGGUGUCCUUGGCCCCGGGGGAGGCAGGGCCUGCAGGGGACAGGUGCUGGGGCAGGGCCCCCACAGACACCUGCGUGGCCAGCCGCAGUGGUUGGGGUCACGGGAACGGGGCAGACGGCGCCGUGGGCCCCUACGCCUCCCCCGCAUGCACACACGUGCUCUUCGUGCGGAUGUCUCGCCUUCUCGUGCUAACGUCCGCCGUCCCUGACUCAUGAUGGCGGGUGACACGUCAUGUUAUUAUUCAUGGAAGCCCGGAGUCUCCACCGGGGUGUGUGCCUGGUGCCGGGCGUGCUGCGGCCUGGACGGUCGUGCGAUGACACGUAUCUGCCACCAUCGCAUCGGCUAAGUAGGGUCACCGUCCUGCACACCCUGUGCUUGGCCUGCUCACCCCCCCACCCCACCCCAGGCAACUGCAUUUGUCUUCACCCCCCACCUUCGCUUUUGCCUUUUCCGGAAUGUUCUGUGGUUAGAAUCAUACAGCGUGUGCCUUUUCUCAGUGGCUUCCUUCACGUGGUAGCAGAAGUUCCCUCCAUGUCUACGCGCGGCUUCUGGGUGGUUCGUGAGCGCAGGUGGCGCUCCGUGGUGCAGACGGACUCCGUUCCUUCGUGUGCUCGCCUGUCCCGACCACGUGUAAAGCUGGUGAAGCAGCCGGAGGGGAAGCCAUGCUGGCUGAUAACUGCACCAAAGGCAAUGACAAGCGUCCUUAGCAGAGACCCAGACACACGAGGGGAGGCCGGUGGGGACAGAGGCGGAGACCUCAGGGAUGAAGGGCCAGAAGCCCGGGUGGUCUGGAGCCGCCCCGGGGCGGGUGGAGGCAGGAGGGGGCGUCCCCAGGUCGCCAGAGCCCGGAUUUCUGCUGCUGGAGCCGCUAGUUUGUGACAAUGUGAUACGGUGGCCCCAGGGCAGGACCACAGGCUUCGUCCCUACGGCGCCCGCCUGCCCUGGGCCCUGGGGCCCCUCACCCCCUGCUGACCCCACGCGCCUGCCCCGGGCCCUGGCCUCCCCGCUGAGACCUUGCAGGUGGUGACCCACAGCCGAGGCCUGCCUGCCACCCCCCGCAGCGCCAGCUCCUGGCAUGGACAGUGGACGGUGGAUGGGAGGGCCGCCCCCGCCCCUGCUUCCAGGCAGGGAGAGGCGCCCCCCCCCUACCAGGCGCAUUGCCCCUUUCCGUGGUACCGGGUCUUGAUGUGGACACGUGCGAAGCCCCUUUGACUCGCUUGGUGUGCCACUCAGAGGCAAGCCUUCGAUUUAUUCACAUCAGUCAACUCUGACAUCGAUGAAAAAAGUUCAUUUUGCGCAUCGGAUGCCAAUGGGAAUGCCGUGUUUUCUAACGUGUUAGAACUCGGUGACUCACAGACCUGCUCCACCGCAUUUACAUCUGAAAGCCCAGCAGCACUUGGAGUGGUCCCCACAGAGGAGUCGCUAAUCCGUCAGCAGGAAGCAGGGCUGGGGGGUGGGGGGGUUGGCUGAGGGCCAGGUCGCAGGGCCUGACCCGCUGUGGGCGCUCCUGUGGGCAGCUGAGGCUUCCUGAAGGAAUUCCCUCCUCAAGGCAGCCCCGCAUACAAGGCCAGCCACGGGGAUGCGGCUGUGGGGACUCGGGCUCACGUCAGAGCCUCGGGACCCCCAGGAGGCCAGGAGCCUGUCCUCUCAGCUCCCACCUCCAGGCCCCGCGAGGGGUGCCCGGGGUCUGGAGCCCGGAGGGGGCGCCAGGGAGUCCGCACGGAGCCUGCAGCCCCUCACAGGCCAGACGCGGGAGGCCCCGGCCCCGGGGCGACGGGGGCCACAGGUGGGAGCGGGGCCAGCAGCUCCUCCCGAGAGACGCCGCGGUCGGGGGUCUCAGCCAAGGUGGGCUACAGGGGCUUGGCUGUGCUCCACUCCUGUGGCUGCUUGUAACACAGGACGACAGACCCUGGAAAUUUAUUGUCUCGGUUCUGGGGAGCUUAAGUCGAAAUCAAGGUGUGGGCCGGCUGUCCCCCUCCGGGGGCCCCUCCCCUGCUCCUGGCUCCCUGUGGAUGCGCUCCCGUGAUUUCUGUCUCUGUUACUACAGUGCCCUCUCCCUGCAAGUCUCUGCCCGGGGCAUCCUCUUCCCACAAGAGCAUCAGUCCCUGGGCCAGGGCCCUGAUCCAAGGAGACCCACUUACCUGAUAGCACCUGCAAAGGCCUUGCAUGCCCUCCAGCUCAAGGGAGGGGACCACACGCAUCUUUUAGGGCACACACUUCAACCCCCUACCAGCUUCUGAGCACCUGAGCCUCCGGCUGCAGUGACUGCCCGGCUGCUCAUUGGCAGGCUCCUCCCUGGGGCUCAGGGCUGCUCCCGCCGCCCCCCUCUGUUAAGGGAUUGCCUGGAACCCCGGGGUCAGGUGGGGGGCCAUCCAUCCCCCAUUGGGCACAAGGCUCCAGGGGAGGGGCUGCGCCCAUCCACCCCCACCUGCCAGGCUGCUGGGCUCCCCAGGGAACUGCUUGAGGGUGUCCCCAAGAGCAGGGGGCACCCCUGAGAUGUCCCCUCUCCAAGUGCCAAGCCAGCAUUGUUACCCACUCUGCAAGAGCCAAGCACCGGGCUGGCAGCCGAGAGUGACCGGGUACGGCUCCAGGCCUCGGCGGGGCACUGGGAAGGCUCCUCGGGGAGGCCAGGUGGCGUCCCCAGAGGCUGAUGGACAGUGUGUUUGCACAUUAGCUCCGUGGGCCUCCCAGUGGCUUCCUGCAGGCACAUAGGGACGCAGUCUCUAACUUCAUUAGGAACGUAGACCAGAGGUGGCCUGAGCUCUGAGUCUGGCUGCCCGCUGGCCUCCGCGCUGUGCCCACCCCACCGCCACCUGCCCUGGCCUGGGACCUCUCCCAUUUUGGACACUCAGGCUGCAGAGGGGGUCUCGUCCAUUGAGGAGCGGUCACCAGUGUCUGCAGGCAAGGGUCACCCCACAGUGCUGGGCAUGCUUGUCUGAGGCCUGUCUCCCUCAGCUCUGCCCUGGGGUCUCACCUGCAAGGUAUGGGGGCAGGAGAGGCUGCUGGAACCAAUGACCAGCUGCAAGAAGACCCAGGGCGUCCUGGGGUCCGGGGUCCGGAGCUCUGCACCGAACCCUUUAUGUCCAUAUCCUGUUUGUUCCUUUUGCCGCCCAUGACGGAGGGGCCUGGUAUGGCCCUGGGCGGACAGGAGGAGACAGGGGCUUAGAGGUGUGCAGGCACUGCCCACUGGCCCACAGGUAAGGCACAGGGCUGCAGUGCCACUGGGACCCUGGGGUCGCUGCCUUGGGGCACCCCUGCGAGUCAGCACGGUGGGGGGGACAGGGCACAUAGGGUCUGUUCCAGGACAUGGAGACCACCCAGGUGCCAGCAAAGGCAGAUGUGUCCCCCCUCCCCCCAGAAGAAAUCAUCCCUGGCAAAGGUGGGCUCACACCUGGGGGCACCUCAAGAGCCAAAAAUAAUAACAGCAGAACAAUCAGAAGAGAUGGUAGAAGCAGCAUCAUAAGAUGAUUGAUGAGGUCAACACAGAAAUCAAAUCCAAUGUCAUAGCAAGAAAAAAGACCCAGCGGACGCGAGAAACAACUGCUAGGAACCUUCAAGGUGGGAAGGGCGGUCAUGGUUUACAUGGCGGCUUAGAUGUGGGAGUAAGGGGAUCCCUGGGUGGCUCAGCGGCUUGGCACCUGCCUUCGGCCCAGGGCGUGAUCCUGGAGUCCCGGGAUCGAGUCCCAUGUCGGGCUCCCUUCAUGGAGCCUGCUUCUCCUUCUCCCUCUGCCUGUGUCCCUGCCUCUCUCUCUCUCUCUCUGUCUCUGUGUCUCUCAUGAAUAAAUGAAUAAACUCUUAAAAAAUAUAUAUAUGUGGGAGUAAACUGAGGAAGGCGGCUGGGAGACAGGCCCAAGGAAGUCACCCAGACAACACCUACCCCCACCCCACUCCCCAAAAAGCGGGUGAGAGGCAGAGGAUG